UGUUUCGGCUAGGGGGUCAUCCCGACUUACCAACCCGAUGCAAACUACGAAUACCGAAGAAUGUUAUCACGGGAGACACACGGCGGGUGCUAACGUCCGUCGUGAAGAGGGAAACAACCCAGACCGCCAGCUAAGGUCCCAAAGUCACAGUUAAGUGGGAAACGAUGUGGGAAGGCACAGACAGCCAGGAUGUUGGCUUAGAAGCAGCCAUCAUUUAAAGAAAGCGUAAUAGCUCACUGGUCGAGUCGGCCUGCGCGGAAGAUGUAACGGGGCUAAACUGUGCACCGAAGCUGCGGCAGCGACACUAUGUGUUGUUGGGUAGGGGAGCGUUCUGUAAGCCUGCGAAGGUGGCCUGUGAGGGUUGCUGGAGGUAUCAGAAGUGCGAAUGCUGACAUAAGUAACGAUAAUGCGGGUGAAAAGCCCGCACGCCGGAAGACCAAGGGUUCCUGUCCAACGUUAAUCGGGGCAGGGUGAGUCGACCCCUAAGGCGAGGCCGAAAGGCGUAGUCGAUGGGAAACAGGUUAAUAUUCCUGUACUUGGUGUUACUGCGAAGGGG
RNAcentral lists this ribosomal RNA (556 nucleotides) under Klebsiella aerogenes. RNAcentral describes it as "partial 23S ribosomal RNA". It matches the Rfam family "Bacterial large subunit ribosomal RNA", at positions 911 to 1469 of the family's 2925-position model. Lineage: Bacteria; Pseudomonadati; Pseudomonadota; Gammaproteobacteria; Enterobacterales; Enterobacteriaceae. The record is from RNAcentral.